UGAGUACGAGCGGCUACGGCCGCGAAGUGGAUGAUGUCAAGCUUCCAAGAAAAGCCCUAUACCCGUUAAGGCAUGAUGGCCUGUACCCGAAACCGACACAGGUGGGGUGGUAGAGAAUACCGAGGGGCGCGAGGUAACUCUCUCUAAGGAACUCGGCAAAAUGGCCCCGUAACUUCGGGAGAAGGGGUGCCACCGCUAGGUGGUCGCAGUGAAGAGGCCCAGGCGACUGUUUACCAAAAACACAGGUCUCCGCUAAGUCGCAAGACGAUGUAUGGGGGCUGACGCCUGCCCAGUGCCGGAAGGUUAAGGAAGCUGGUCAGCGCAAGCGAAGCUGGCGACUGAAGCCCCGGUGAACGGCGGCCGUAACGAUAACGGUCCUAAGGUAGCGAAAUUCCUUGUCGGGUAAGUUCCGACCCGCACGAAAGGCGUAACGAUCUGGGCGCUGUCUCGGAGAGAGGCUCGGCGAAAUAGAAUUGUCUGUGAAGAUGCGGACUACGUGCACCCGGACAGAAAGACCCUAUGAAGCUUUACUGUAGCUUGGUAUUGUGCUCGGGCUCGGAAUGCGCAGGAUAGGUGGGAGGUUUUGAUCCAUUGCUUGCGGGUGGUGGUGAGCCACUGGUGAGAUACCACUCUUUCCGAGCUAGAGUUCUAACAGCAACCCGUUAUCCGGGUGCUGGACAGUAUCAGGUGGGCAGUUUGACUGGGGCGGUCGCCUCCUAAAAGGUAACGGAGGCGCGCAAAGGUCUGCUCAGGCUGGUUGGAAAUCAGCCGACGAGUGUAAAAGCAGAAGCAGGCUUGACUGUGAGACCUACAAGUCGAACAGGGAGGAAACUCGGCUUUAGUGAUCCGACGGUUCUGCGUGGAAGGGCCGUCGUUCAACGGAUAAAAGUUACUCUAGGAUAACAGGCUGAUCUCCCCCAAGAGUUCACAUCGACGGGGAGGUUUGGCACCUCGAUGUCGGCUCAUCGCAACCUGGGGCUGAAGUCGGUCCCAAGGGUUGGGCUGUUCGCCCAUUAAAGCGGUACGCGAGCUGGGUUCAGAACGUCGUGAGACAGUUCGGUCCAUAUCCGGUGCACGCGCAGGAAUAUUGAGAGGAUUUCUCCCUAGUACGAGAGGACCGGGAGGAACGCACCUCUGGUGUGCCAGUUAUCGUGCCAACGGUAAACGCUGGGUAGCCAUGUGCGGAGUGGAUAACCGCUGAAAGCAUCUAAGUGGGAAGCCCACCUCAAGAUGAGUAUUCCCAUGGCAUAAGCCAGUAAGGUCACGGGAAGAACACCCGUUGAUAGGCUCUACGUGGAAGCGCAGUAAUGUGGGAAGCGGAGGAGUACUAAUAGACCGAGGGCUUGAU
Molecule: ribosomal RNA, 1348 nt
Filed under: metagenome
Description: bacterial LSU rRNA
Rfam family: Bacterial large subunit ribosomal RNA
Source: RNAcentral